AUAAUCAUUUGCCUUUUAAUUGAAGGCAGGAAUGAAUGGUUUGACAAGAAUAUAGCUGUCUCUUUAUGAUUUGAUAGAAUUUUAUUUUUAGGUGAAAAAGCCUUAAUUUAAUUAAUAGACAAGAAGACCCUAUCGAGCUUAAGAGAAUUUAGUAAAUGGUUGGGGCGACUAAGGAACAUAGAAAGCUUCCUUUAAUUUGGAAUUGAUCCAAAAAUGUUGAUUGAAGGAAUUAUUUACCGUAGGGAUAACAGCAUUAUCUUUUUUGAGAGUUCUUAUCGAAAAAAGGGUUUGUGACCUCSAUGUUGGACCGGAAUGUCCUGAAGAUGCCGAAGUCUUC
Molecule: ribosomal RNA, 337 nt
Filed under: Terebra argosyia
Lineage: Eukaryota; Metazoa; Mollusca; Gastropoda; Neogastropoda; Terebridae
Description: partial 16S ribosomal RNA
Rfam family: Archaeal large subunit ribosomal RNA
Source: RNAcentral